UACGAAGGGGGCGAGCGUUGUUCGGAUUUACUGGGCGUAAAGCGCGCGCAGGCGGCUAUCCAAGUCAGUGGUGAAAGCCCGGAGCUCAACUCCGGAACUGCCAUUGAAACUGUUUAGCUUGAGUAUGAGAGAGGUGAGUGGAAUUCCCAGUGUAGAGGUGAAAUUCGUAGAUAUUGGGAAGAACACCGGUGGCGAAGGCGGCUCACUGGCUCAUUACUGACGCUCAGGCGCGACAGCGUGGGGGAUCAAACAGG
This 254-nucleotide ribosomal RNA is filed under the name uncultured bacterium. RNAcentral describes it as "partial 16S ribosomal RNA". It matches the Rfam family "Bacterial small subunit ribosomal RNA", at positions 524 to 776 of the family's 1533-position model. The record is from RNAcentral.